This 773-nucleotide non-coding RNA is filed under the name Megalotomus costalis. The record is from RNAcentral. Lineage: Eukaryota; Metazoa; Arthropoda; Insecta; Hemiptera; Alydidae.
AUUAGUAUUGAUUUUGUAUUUAAAAAUUAGCUUUUUUGAUAAUUUUAUAUGUAAGGUUUUUUGCGUAGUAAAGUUGUCUAAAGGACAAAUUUGUUUUAUUUGCAGUUUUUAGGAUUAGUUUAUUAUAUAAAUAUAGAACUAGUUAAUUUAAUUAGAUUUGUUAAAAUUUGUGCCAGCAAACGCGGUUAUACAAUUAAUUCAAGUUAAUUUUUUUGGUUAUAUUAAUUUUUAUUUUUGGAAAUUUAAUUUUUAUUUAUUAAGUGAAAUUUUAAUUUUUUGUAUAAUUUCUUGGUUUAAGAAUAUAAGAAAAUUGGAACUAAAACUAGGAUUAGAUACCCUAUUAUUCUAAUUGUAAAUUUUUGACCAUAAUAUUAAUAGAUAUGAUCUUUAAAUUAAAAAAAUUUGGCGGUAAUUUAGUCCUUUCAGAGGAACCUGUCCUUUAAUCGAUAAUCCACGUUAUAUUUUACUUUAAUUUUUGUUUAUAUACCUCUGUCAUUGAAUGUUUUAUUAGAAUAUUUUCUUUUAUUAUUAAUUUAUAUAAUGUCAGGUCAAGGUGUAGCUAUAUUAAAGGUUGAGAUGGGUUACAUUUAAUGUUAAUUUAUUGAAUUAUAAUAUGUUAUUUAUUUUAUGAAAGAGGAUUUGAAAGUAAUUAUAAUUAUUUUAUUAUAAUGAUUUUGGCUCUAAAUUAUGUACAUAUCGCCCGUCGCUUUUAUUAUUAAGAUAAAAUAAGUCGUAACAAAGUAAUUUUACUGGAAAGUGUAGUUAGAAUUAUU